RNAcentral lists this ribosomal RNA (432 nucleotides) under uncultured bacterium. RNAcentral's name for it is "partial 16S ribosomal RNA". It matches the Rfam family "Bacterial small subunit ribosomal RNA", at positions 29 to 506 of the family's 1533-position model. The record is from RNAcentral.
AACGAACGCUGGCGGCAUGCCUAACACAUGCAAGUCGAACGAGACCUUCGGGUCUAGUGGGGCACGGGUGCGUAACGCGUGGGAACCUGCCCUUAGGUUCGGAAUAACUCCCCGAAAGGGGUGCUAAUACCGGAUAAUGUCUUCGGACCAAAGAUUUAUCGCCUUUGGAUGGGCCCGCGUUGGAUUAGCUAGUUGGUAGGGUAAAAGCCUACCAAGGCGACGAUCCAUAGCUGGUCUGAGAGGAUGAUCAGCCACACUGGGACUGAGACACGGCCCAGACCCCUACGGGAGGGAGCAGUGGGGAAUAUUGGACAAUGGGCGAAAGCCUGAUCCAGCAAGGCCGGGUGAGUGAGGAAGGCCUUAGGGUUGUAAAGCUCUUUUACCCGGGAUGAUAAGGACGGUACCGGGAAAAAAAGCCCCGGCAAACUCCGG